Molecule: ribosomal RNA, 551 nt
Filed under: uncultured bacterium
Lineage: Bacteria
Description: partial 16S ribosomal RNA
Rfam family: Bacterial small subunit ribosomal RNA
Source: RNAcentral
UGGGGAAUAUUGCACAAUGGGCGAAAGCCUGAUGCAGCAACGCCGCGUGAGUGAUGAAGGCCUUCGGGUUGUAAAGCUCUGUCUUUUGGGACGAUAAUGACGGUACCAAAGGAGGAAGCCACGGCUAACUACGUGCCAGCAGCCGCGGUAAUACGUAGGUGGCAAGCGUUGUCCGGAUUUACUGGGCGUAAAGGAUGCGUAGGCGGAUUUUUAAGUGAGAUGUGAAAUACCCGGGCUUAACUUGGGUGCUGCAUUUCAAACUGGGAAUCUAGAGUGCGGGAGAGGAGAAUGGAAUUCCUAGUGUAGCGGUGAAAUGCGUAGAGAUUAGGAAGAACACCAGUGGCGAAGGCGAUUCUCUGGACCGUAACUGACGCUGAGGCAUGAAAGCGUGGGUAGCAAACAGGAUUAGAUACCCUGGUAGUCCACGCCGUAAAACGAUGAGUACUAGGUGUAGGAGGUAUCGACCCCUUCUGUGCCGCAGUUAACACAAUAAGUACUCCGCCUGGGAAGUACGAUCAGCAAGAUUAAAACUCAAAGGAAUUGACGGGGUC